GCGCGAGAAUGCGUGCGGUAGGAUUUUCGGAAGUUAAAACCUCCUUUUGAGCGAGUGGGCAGGCGGCGCAAGCGCACACAUCAAUCAACCUCCUUUUGUGCGAGAAGGUGUCGGGCGGGGGCGAGCGCACGCAAAUACGUGGGAAGAGGAAGGGGAGGAGUGGAAACAGACAGCAGAGACAGGCAGAAACGGAGCAGAGCAGUUGCAAAAGAAAAGUUAUAGGCAGGAGAAAGUGAAUUGUUGGCUAAUAAUAAGUUGGUUUACUAGCUCAGCCUUACUUUUGUACCUCAGGAAGGUAAAAGAAAGGAGAUAAAAAGGAAAAGAUAAACAAAA
Molecule: non-coding RNA, 333 nt
Organism: Pelobates cultripes (western spadefoot toad)
Lineage: Eukaryota; Metazoa; Chordata; Amphibia; Anura; Pelobatidae
Source: the annotation of a GenBank genome assembly